AUUGAACGCUGGCGGCAGGCCUAACACAUGCAAGUCGAACGGUAACAGGAAGAAGCUUGCUUCUUUGCUGACGAGUGGCGGACGGGUGAGUAAUGUCUGGGAAACUGCCUGAUGGAGGGGGAUAACUACUGGAAACGGUAGCUAAUACCGCAUAACGUCGCAAGACCAAAGAGGGGGACCUUCAGGCCUCUUGCCAUCGGCUGUGCCCAGAUGGGAUUAGCUAGUAGGUGGGGUAACGGCUCACCUAGGCGACGAUCCCUAGCUGGUCUGAGAGGAUGACCAGCCACACUGGAACUGAGACACGGUCCAGACUCCUACGGGAGGCAGCAGUGGGGAAUAUUGCACAAUGGGCGCAAGCCUGAUGGAGCCAUGCCGCGUGUAUGAAGAAGGCCUUCGGGUUGUAAAGUACUUUCAGCGGGGAGGAAGGUAGUAAAGUUAAUACCUUUGCUCAUUGACGUUACCCGCAGAAGAAGCACCGGCUAACUCCGUG
RNAcentral lists this ribosomal RNA (490 nucleotides) under uncultured bacterium. Its description in RNAcentral is "partial 16S ribosomal RNA". It matches the Rfam family "Bacterial small subunit ribosomal RNA", at positions 30 to 507 of the family's 1533-position model. The record is from RNAcentral.